UGCUGCGGAGGUGCUGCAUGGCUGUCGUCAGCUCGUGUCGUGAGAUGUUGGGUUAAGUCCCGCAACGAGCGCAACCCUUAUCGUUAGUUGCCAUCAGGUCAAGCUGGGCACUCUAGCGAAACCGCCUCGGAUAACGGGGAGGAAGGUGGGGAUGACGUCAAGUCCUCAUGGCCUUUAUGUCCAGGGCUACACACGUGCUACAAUGGUCGGUACAAACCGUUGCAAACCCGCGAGGGGGAGCUAAUCGGAAAAAGCCGGCCUCAGUUCGGAUUGGAGUCUGCAACCCGACUCCAUGAAGCUGGAAUCGCUAGUAAUCGCAGAUCAGAACGCUGCGGUGAAUACGUUCCCGGGCCUUGUACACACCGCCCGUCACAUCACGAAAGUGGGUGAUACUAGAAGUCGUCGUGCUAACCUGCAAAGGGAGUAGACGCCCAAGGUAUGACUCAUGAUUGGGGUGAAGUCGUAACAAUGCCUUCGAUAAGAAGGAGGAAGGUGGGGACGACGUCAAAUCCUCAUGGCCCUUAUGUCCAGGGCUACACACGUGCUACAAUGGCCGGUACAACGGGAAGCAAUACCGCAAGGUGGAGCCAAACCCUUAAAGCCGGCCUCAGUUCAGAUCGUGGGCUGCAACUCGCCCACGUGAAGGCGGAAUCGCUAGUAAUCGCGAAUCAGCAGGUCGCGGUGAAUACGUUCCCGGGCCUUGUACACACCGCCCGUCACACCACGAAAGCCCGCUGCAACAGAAAUCGGUGAUCUAACCGGCAAGGGAGGAAGCCGCUGAAGUUGUGGUUGGUGAUUGGGGUGAAGUCGUAACAAGGU
Molecule: ribosomal RNA, 819 nt
Filed under: uncultured Acidobacteriota bacterium
Lineage: Bacteria; Pseudomonadati; Acidobacteriota
Description: bacterial SSU rRNA
Rfam family: Bacterial small subunit ribosomal RNA (bases 1-510)
Source: RNAcentral